GACGAACGCUGGCGGCGUGCUUAACACAUGCAAGUCGAACGGAAAGGCCCUGCUUUUGUGGGGUGCUCGAGUGGCGAACGGGUGAGUAACACGUGAGUAACCUGCCCUUGACUUUGGGAUAACUUCAGGAAACUGGGGCUAAUACCGGAUAGGAGCUCCUGCUGCAUGGUGGGGGUUGGAAAGUUUCGGCGGUUGGGGAUGGACUCGCGGCUUAUCAGCUUGUUGGUGGGGUAGUGGCUUACCAAGGCUUUGACGGGUAGCCGGCCUGAGAGGGUGACCGGCCACAUUGGGACUGAGAUACGGCCCAGACUCCUACGGGAGGCAGCAGUGGGGAAUAUUGCACAAUGGGCGGAAGCCUGAUGCAGCAACGCCGCGUGCGGGAUGACGGCCUUCGGGUUGUAAACCGCUUUCGCCUGUGACGAAGCGUGAGUGACGGUAAUGGGUAAAGAAGCACCGGCUAACUACGUGCCAGCAGCCGCGGUGAUACGUAGGGUGCGAGCGUUGUCCGGAUUUAUUGGGCGUAAAGGGCUCGUAGGUGGUUGAUCGCGUCGGAAGUGUAAUCUUGGGGCUUAACCCUGAGCGUGCUUUCGAUACGGGUUGACUUGAGGAAGGUAGGGGAGAAUGGAAUUCCUGGUGGAGCGGUGGAAUGCGCAGAUAUCAGGAGGAACACCAGUGGCGAAGGCGGUUCUCUGGGCCUUUCCUGACGCUGAGGAGCGAAAGCGUGGGGAGCGAACAGGCUUAGAUACCCUGGUAGUCCACGCUGUAAACGGUGGGUACUAGGUGUGGGGUCCAUUCCACGGGUUCCGUGCCGUAGCUAACGCUUUAAGUACCCCGCCUGGGGAGUACGGCCGCAAGGCUAAAACUCAAAGGAAUUGACGGGGCCCCGCACAAGCGGCGGAGCAUGCGGAUUAAUUCGAUGCAACGCGUAGAACCUUACCCGGGUUUGACAUGGAUCGGGAGCGCUCAGAGAUGGGUGUGCCUCUUUUGGGGUCGGUUCACAGGUGGUGCAUGGCUGUCGUCAGCUCGUGUCGUGAGAUGUUGGGUUAAGUCCCGCAACGAGCGCAACCCUUGUUCACUGUUGCCAGCACGUUAUGGUGGGGACUCAGUGGAGACCGCCGGGGUCAACUCGGAGGAAGGUGGGGAUGACGUCAAGUCAUCAUGCCCCUUAUGUCCAGGGCUUCACGCAUGCUACAAUGGCUGGUACAGAGAGUGGCGAGCCUGUGAGGGUGAGCGAAUCUCGGAAAGCCGGUCUCAGUUCGGAUUGGGGUCUGCAACUCGACCUCAUGAAGUCGGAGUCGCUAGUAAUCGCAGAUCAGCAACGCUGCGGUGAAUACGUUCCCGGG
Molecule: ribosomal RNA, 1343 nt
Filed under: uncultured bacterium
Lineage: Bacteria
Description: 16S ribosomal RNA
Rfam family: Bacterial small subunit ribosomal RNA
Source: RNAcentral